Podarcis lilfordi (Lilford's wall lizard) is the source of this 72-nucleotide non-coding RNA. Lineage: Eukaryota; Metazoa; Chordata; Lepidosauria; Squamata; Lacertidae. The record is from the annotation of a GenBank genome assembly.
GCCUUGUAGCUCAGUCAGAAGAGCGUGAGACUCUUAAUCUAAGGCUGGUGGGUUCAAGCCUCAGGUUGGACA